GCAAGUCGAACGAUGAAAUUCUGACGGAGGCUUCGGGCCAAACUGAAGGAUGGAUUAGUGGCGGACGGGUGAGUAAUACCUAGGAAACUGCCUAAACGAGGGGGAUAACCAUUUGGAAACGAGUGCUAAUACCGCAUAAUACUGAGAAGUCAAAGGUUGGUUUACCAAUCGCGUUUAGAUGUGCCUAGGAGGGAUUAGAUAGUUGGUGGGGUUAACGGCCCACCAAGUCGACGAUUGGUAGCCGGACUGAGAGGUUGAACGGCCACAUUGGGACUGAGACACGGCCCAGACUCCUACGGGAGGCAGCAGUGGGGGAUAUUGCACAAUGGGGGAAACCCUGAUGCAGCAACGCCGCGUGAAGGAAGAAGGUCUUCGGAUUGUAAACUUCUGUUUUUAGUGAAGAAACAAAUGACGGUAGCUAAAGAGGAAGCCACGGCUAACUACGUG
RNAcentral lists this ribosomal RNA (447 nucleotides) under uncultured bacterium. RNAcentral's name for it is "bacterial SSU rRNA". It matches the Rfam family "Bacterial small subunit ribosomal RNA", at positions 57 to 507 of the family's 1533-position model. The record is from RNAcentral.